This is a long non-coding RNA of Mus musculus (house mouse), 599 nucleotides long. RefSeq annotates it as predicted gene, 40242. The record is from RefSeq and is a predicted model, not a curated record. NCBI's taxonomy places the organism in Eukaryota, Metazoa, Chordata, Mammalia, Rodentia, Muridae. The transcript is spliced from 3 exons.
UGCAUCUGCAGCUUUCCUGUAUCCUUGGCCUUCAUAAGGGACCAUGGCUCCUGAGUGACAGAACUUCUGAACUCCUCCAGGAUGGAGGAACAGAGAAGCAAACCAUAAGCCAGAAAGUUGGCUCAGUCUGUGAGGCUGCUAUGCAGUUGGAGGAUCCAGUCAGAGGAACAGGAACUGGGUCUCUGAGUAGGUCAAAUGUGAUCCCAUUUCAAGCCGUUGUACAUCUCUGAUGGGAGCAGCCUUCCCCCUUACACCUCGUGUCCUGCUGUGUGGUUUGGAUAUGAGGUAUUCCACAUCCAUGACAGCUUGUGUGUUGAAGCUCUAGUCCCCAGCUGGUACCACUCUUCUGGAAGGUUCUAGAAAUGUUCAGAAGCAGGGCCUAGUUGGAAGAAGCAGAUCCCUCAAGAUGGAUCCUCGGGAGCAUCUUGGCUCUGGCCUCCUCCUGUUUGUUCCAGUCAGCUUCCCAUCUGCUACCAGGUGGACAGCUCUCCUCCACUGCACGCUGCUACCACCAGGAGGCUUGCCUCAAGCACUGGGAGUAGUGACUAUGGACCCUCUAAAAGUAUGAGCCAAAAUAAAUAGUGUUCACAGCAAGAAAA